GGGCAUGAUGCGGGAGAGCAUGGCGGGCCUUUCAGGCCAGGCGCCAUCGCCGAAGGAGCAACCGCCCCGGAAUCUCUCAGGCUAAAGGACCGCAUCAUGGGC
The sequence is a non-coding RNA, 102 nucleotides long. It matches the Rfam family "Glycine riboswitch aptamer". Rfam says of the family: This family represents the bacterial glycine riboswitch. Glycine riboswitches usually consist of two metabolite-binding aptamers domains with similar structures in tandem.